CGGAGGGAGCCGGCUGUCCUGUGUCUCCUCUUUUUCCUGCCCCCAGUGACUUGCAUUUUCUCUGAGACAGCUGCCAUUCUAGUCUCCCAGCCAUUCUUAGGAAGAGACGUGCCUGUCUCUGGGAAGAGGCAACUUCUCUGCAUGUCAGAGACACCAUUGGCACUGCAUUCCCUGUUGAAUGACGCCCCCUGGAACACAGCUUUAUAGACUUCAAUGUGAAUAGUGCCCCCUAGAAUUGUUCAAGUUGGCAGUACAGAGCCUAAUAUUUGUUGAAAAGAGGCCACAGGCGAUCUACUCUCUCUGCUCAUCUUCCUG
This 315-nucleotide long non-coding RNA is filed under the name Homo sapiens (human). Lineage: Eukaryota; Metazoa; Chordata; Mammalia; Primates; Hominidae. The record is from RNAcentral.